UUACGGCCAUAUCAUGUUGAAACUCCAGUUCUUGUCUGAUCACCAAACUUAAGCAACAUUGAACUUGGUCAGUGCUUAGGUGGGUGACCAUAUGGGAAUACCAGGUGCUGCAAGC
Molecule: non-coding RNA, 115 nt
Organism: Acanthosepion pharaonis
Lineage: Eukaryota; Metazoa; Mollusca; Cephalopoda; Sepiida; Sepiidae
Source: the annotation of a GenBank genome assembly